RNAcentral lists this ribosomal RNA (212 nucleotides) under uncultured bacterium. RNAcentral describes it as "partial 16S ribosomal RNA". It matches the Rfam family "Bacterial small subunit ribosomal RNA", at positions 1290 to 1500 of the family's 1533-position model. The record is from RNAcentral.
AGUUCGGAUUGCAGGCUGAAACCCGCCUGUAUGAAGUUGGAAUCGCUAGUAAUCGCGGAUCAGCAUGCCGCGGUGAAUACGUUCCCGGGCCUUGUACACACCGCCCGUCACACCAUGAGAGUCGGGAACACCCGAAGUCCGUAGCCUAACAGCAAGUGGGGGCGCGGCCGAAGGUGGGUUCGAUAAUUGGGGUGAAGUCGUAACAAGGUACC